CACGUAGGGGGCAAGCGUUGUCCGGAUUUAUUGGGCGUAAAGAGCUCGUAGGCGGUUCGGUAAGUCGGGUGUGAAACCUCCAGGCUCAACCUGGAGACGCCACCCGAUACUGCUGUGACUCGAGUCCGGUAGGGGAGCGUGGAAUUCCUGGUGUAGCGGUGAAAUGCGCAGAUAUCAGGAGGAACACCAGCGGCGAAGGCGGCGCUCUGGGCCGGUACUGACACUGAGGAGCGAAAGCGUGGGUAGCAAACAGG
This 254-nucleotide ribosomal RNA is filed under the name uncultured bacterium. RNAcentral describes it as "partial 16S ribosomal RNA". It matches the Rfam family "Bacterial small subunit ribosomal RNA", at positions 524 to 776 of the family's 1533-position model. The record is from RNAcentral.